Molecule: small nuclear RNA, 22 nt
Filed under: Arabidopsis thaliana (thale cress)
Lineage: Eukaryota; Viridiplantae; Streptophyta; Magnoliopsida; Brassicales; Brassicaceae
Description: snRNA_08956
Source: RNAcentral
UGAUGCUUUUAUCUAGAGUUGG